This is a long non-coding RNA of Canis lupus familiaris (dog), 1180 nucleotides long. RefSeq lists it as uncharacterized. NCBI's taxonomy places the organism in Eukaryota, Metazoa, Chordata, Mammalia, Carnivora, Canidae. The transcript is spliced from 4 exons. The record is from RefSeq and is a predicted model, not a curated record.
AGGAUCGGCAGUGGCAGUUUAACUGCAGGUUCCAAAUCAGAACUUCUGGGAGCAGGGCCUGGCAGUCUGAAUUUUAACAAGCACCGCCCCCUGUGAUGAUUCGGAUGCCACCAGACUGUGAGAGACACUGAACAACAUGACUGUGAGUUCCCUAACACUAUGCCAAGCAAAGGACAAACGAUGCUUGUUGAAGUAGAGACAGAAACGCAAGGGGGGAAGCUAUGCAGCAGGUGAGGCCAAAGCAGCAGCAGCAGCCCUCCUGUGGAAGCCAAGACCGAUCCCUCACCUAAGGCUCAGCAACAUGGACUCCUGCCUUUGUUCUGCUGGAACCAUCCCUCCUACCCUGCAUGAGCAAGAGCUCUCCUUCACACUCAAAACCACUUGGAAAUCACCCGAUGACAGGCCUCCCAGAAGGCACACAGUGAGAGAGAGAGAGAGAGAGGCAGAGACACAGGCAGAAGCAGGCUCCAUGCACCGGGAGCCCGACGUGGGACUCGAUCCCGGGUCUCCAGGACCGCGCCCUGGGCCAAAGGCAGGCGCCAAACCGCUGCGCCACCCAGGGAUCCCUGGUACCAGAUUCUAAAAGAAUUCCAUUCAAUUAAAAUAAAUGGAGAUUGAAAAGAAAAUGUGUAUUAUUAGACUUUCAGAUACUGACAUAGUUGAAGUCAGUCCCUGCCAUUUUGAAACAGCAACAAUACAUGGACUAGUGCCCUCUAUUGAGAUAUUUGUCCAAUUUAUCUAGGUCCAAAUUUUGACUUCAAAAAGCACAGUCAGGAGGGCCAUUAUUUAUAAAUACCAAGUCUCCAAAACUCUAAAACUGCUCUGGUGAUUAUAUAAGUUCUGAGAUUUUGCUCUCUGUUCUCUUUGUCUCCUCUGAAAUCCUUCCUCAGAUACAGAAACCUCCCUGGAACUCAGCCAAAUACCAGAAAGAAUACAAAUAAUAAAUACCACUUCUCAUUUGCAUUAUGCUUUACAGCUUAUAAAUCAGCUCAUAUACAAUGAAGUCAUGUGGACCACAAAUUAUGGGUGAAAUAUAAUCAAACAUCUGUGGUGUUCUAUCUCUUAAAAGGUAUCAGUCAUUAUCAGGGUAUAGGCAGACAUGGGUAUUGCACAAGCCUAUGACAAGCUCAUAAAAUUGUAUGCAAUCUAAUAAAGUUGCCGGUGGGCCUAUCUCUCUGGA